Molecule: ribosomal RNA, 448 nt
Filed under: uncultured bacterium
Lineage: Bacteria
Description: bacterial SSU rRNA
Rfam family: Bacterial small subunit ribosomal RNA
Source: RNAcentral
AACGAACGCUGGCGGCAGGCUUAAGACAUGCAAGUCGAACGCCCCUUCGGGGGAGUGGCAGACGGGUGAGUAACGCGUGGGAAUCUACCCAGCUCUACGGAAUAACUGAGGGAAACUUCGGCUAAUACCGUAUACGUCCUUCGGGAGAAAGAUUUAUCGGAGUUGGAUGAGCCCGCGUUGGAUUAGCUUGUUGGUGGGGUAAUGGCCUACCAAGGCGACGAUCCAUAGCUGGUCUGAGAGGAUGAUCAGCCACACUGGGACUGAGACACGGCCCAGACUCCUACGGGAGGCAGCAGUCGGGAAUAUUGGACAAUGGGCGCAAGCCUGAUCCAGCCAUGCCGCGUGUGUGAUGAAGGCCCUAGGGUUGUAAAGCACUUUCAACGGUGAAGAUAAUGACGGUAACCGUAGAAGAAGCUCCGGCUAACUUCGUGCCAGCAGCCGCGGUAAU